RNAcentral lists this ribosomal RNA (459 nucleotides) under uncultured bacterium. RNAcentral's name for it is "partial 16S ribosomal RNA". It matches the Rfam family "Bacterial small subunit ribosomal RNA", at positions 338 to 795 of the family's 1533-position model. The record is from RNAcentral.
CCUACGGGUGGCAGCAGUGAGGAAUAUUGGUCAAUGGGCGGGAGCCUGAACCAACCAAGCCGCGUGAGGGAAGAAGGUACAGCGUAUCGUAAACCUCUUUUGUCAGGGAACAAAGGCGGGGACUAGUCCCCGGAUGAGGGUUCCUGAAGAAAAAGCAUCGGCUAACUCCGUGCCAGCAGCCGCGGUAAUACGGAGGAUGCGAGCGUUAUCCGGAUUUAUUGGGUUUAAAGGGUGCGCAGGCGGCCUGUUAAGUCAGCGGGAAAAGCCCGGGGUUCAACCCCGGCGAGCCGUUGAAACUGGCGGGCUGGAGUUGGAGAGAAGUACGCGGAAUGCGCGGUGUAGCGGUGAAAUGCUUAGAUAUCGCGCAGAACCCCGAUGGCGAAGGCAGCGUACCGGCUCCACACUGACGCUGAGGCACGAAAGCGUGGGUAUCGAACAGGAUUAGAUACCCUGGUAGUC